This 69-nucleotide transfer RNA is filed under the name Citharoides macrolepidotus (large-scale flounder). RNAcentral describes it as "tRNA-Ala". It matches the Rfam family "tRNA". Rfam says of the family: Transfer RNA (tRNA) molecules are approximately 80 nucleotides in length. Their secondary structure includes four short double-helical elements and three loops (D, anti-codon, and T loops). Lineage: Eukaryota; Metazoa; Chordata; Actinopteri; Pleuronectiformes; Citharidae. The record is from RNAcentral.
AAGGCUUUAGCUUAAUUAAAGUGUCUGUUUUGCAUGCAGAAGUUGUGGGUUGAUAUCCUGCAAGCCUUA